GCUAUUAAACUAGCGCCAGAGCUUGAGAGUGUGUCGCCACUUACCACGUCCUAUCCGGGAUGAUGAACAAAAGAAGGCAACUCGCAAGCUGACGAGGUGAAGGUGUUCGAAACAUUCGGCGGGGACCUUCCGGUAGCAGAUACUACCGUAAAGUUGGAAAGCAAACCAUCCGGGCGACCGGGUGUACAAGAGUCCAACGUGCAUCGAA
This 208-nucleotide non-coding RNA is filed under the name Paenibacillus xerothermodurans. Its description in RNAcentral is "Bacillus xerothermodurans GlcN6P sequence". It matches the Rfam family "glmS glucosamine-6-phosphate activated ribozyme aptamer". Rfam says of the family: This entry contains a glucosamine-6-phosphate activated ribozyme that is found in the mRNA for GlmS. GlmS is an enzyme that uses fructose-6-phosphate and glutamine to generate glucosamine-6-phosphate. The ribozyme catalyses self cleavage of the glmS mRNA that is thought to regulate GlmS activity. Lineage: Bacteria; Bacillati; Bacillota; Bacilli; Caryophanales; Paenibacillaceae. The record is from Rfam by way of RNAcentral.